This 347-nucleotide unclassified non-coding RNA is filed under the name soil metagenome. RNAcentral describes it as "partial contains 5.8S ribosomal RNA, internal transcribed spacer 2, and large subunit ribosomal RNA". The stretch from base 1 to 119 matches the Rfam family "5.8S ribosomal RNA", at positions 35 to 154 of the family's 154-position model. The record is from RNAcentral.
GAUGAAGAACGCAGCGAAAUGCGAUAAGUAAUGCGAAUUGCAGAAUCCGUGAGUCAUCGAAUCUUUGAACGCACAUUGCGCCCUUUGGUAUUCCGAAGGGCAUGCCUGUUCGAGCGUCAUUAUCACCCCUCAAGCCCCGGCUUGGUGUUGGGCUCUCGGUGGUCGUCUCCGACCACCCGUCUCAAAGAUAGUGACGGCGUCCCAGAGGGAACCGGUACGAGGAGCUUUCACGAGCAUGUACGCGGGACGACUCUGCGGGCGACGGUCUUAUUUACUUUAUAUACAAGUGUUGACCUCGGAUCAGGUAGGAAUACCCGCUGAACUUAAGCAUAUCAAUCAGCGGAGGA